CGGUCUUGAGUUAAGGGAGGGGGAAGUACUCUGAUCCAUUUGGAAAGGAAGCAGUUUACUUUUAUACGAUACUUUGUAGUGAAUAAAGUACGAUAGUAUUAAUAUAGAAAAAUGGCCACAUUUCUUCAAAACGCAAAGAGGAUUAACCGAAACCUUGUUCUAAAUGGUGUUUAUUUAACCGGAACAUGCUGUAAGAAAUACUUGGAGAGUUUUAGACUCUUUUCUAUGAAACAUGCAGGUGGACCGGCAAAAAAUAUUGUCUUUAUUGAUGGUGUGCGAACCCCAUUUUUGCAAUCAGGAACAAAAUAUAAUGACCUAAUGGCUCACGAUUUGGCCACGCAUGCUUUACUUAAUUUGAGAAAUAGAACAGGAAUUUCAAAAGAAAUAGUUGAUUACAUUGUAUUUGGAACAGUCAUGCAAGAGGUACGAACUUCUAACAUCGGACGAGAAGCUGCCUUGGCAGCAGGCUUCGACGAUACCACUCCAGCUCAUACAGUCACGAUGGCUUGUAUCAGUAGCAAUCAAGCUUUAACUACGGGAAUGGGUUUGAUGGCAUGUGGAGUAUAUGAUACAAUUGUCGCUGGUGGUGUCGAAUUUAUGUCAGACAUUCCAAUUAGACACAGUCGACAGAUGCGCUCGUUGUUGCUAAAAACCAGAAAAGCCAAGACGCUCUCGCAGAAAAUGAGUCUUCUUGCUAGCAUUAGACCUUCGCACUUUACUCCAGAUUUACCAGCUGUAGCUGAGUUUUCCAGUGGAGAAACGAUGGGCCAUAGUAGCGACCGUUUGGCAGCAGCCUUUAAGAUAUCAAGAACCGAACAAGAUCAGUACUCGUUAAGGUCACAUUCUCUCGCCGCACGUGCUCAACAGCAAGGAUACCUGACGGAUUUAGUUCCUUACAAGGUUCCAGGAGUUGACGGUGUAGUGGAUAAAGACAACGGAGUUCGAGUUUCGACGUUGGAUCAAAUGAGUAAACUUAAACCUGCGUUCGUCAAACCGUACGGAACGAUUACCGCAGCGAACGCGUCCUUUCUUACGGACGGAGCUUCGGCGGCUCUGAUAAUGACGGAAGAAAAAGCGCAUCAACUAGGACUUAAGCCUAAGGCAUACAUGCGUGGUUUCAUUUACGUAUCCCAAGAUCCCGUGGAUCAGUUGCUUCUUGGUCCAGCAUAUGCCAUACCAAAGAUUUUGGACAAAACUGGUCUCAAGGUGGAUGAUGUCGGAGUGUGGGAAGUACACGAAGCAUUUGCAGCCCAAAUUCUCGCAAAUCUGAAGGCACUGGAUUCUGAUUAUUUUGCGGAGAACUAUUUGAAAAGGAGAUCCGGGAAAGUAGGAGUACCUGACCUUUCAAAGUGGAAUGCGUGGGGUGGAUCGCUCUCUAUCGGACACCCUUUUGCCGCAACGGGAGUACGUUUAGCUACACACACCGCUAAUCGACUGAUACGAGAAAAUCAACAAUUUGGAUUAAUUGCAGCCUGUGCUGCUGGCGGUCAGGGUGUCGCAAUGAUCAUGGAGAAAUACCCAGAUGCCAAGAUUUAAUUGACGUUUCAGGGAUUAUAUAUUCUCAACUACAUAGAAUGCUAUAUCAAAAAUAUCAUUAUAUUUUUCUACGCUAAUUUGCGAUUUUGUAUUGAUUAAAAGGUGAAAAUGGAGAAUGCAGAGUCAAGUGAUAUCUUACAGCUUCGUCUAAAAUUUCUUUUAUAUGUUUACUGCCACAUAAAGCUUGGUUUCUAAGAGUCUGAAA
This 1741-nucleotide unclassified non-coding RNA is filed under the name Orussus abietinus. RNAcentral describes it as "trifunctional enzyme subunit beta, mitochondrial, transcript variant X2". Lineage: Eukaryota; Metazoa; Arthropoda; Insecta; Hymenoptera; Orussidae. The record is from RNAcentral.